AGUGUCGCCGCCGCUGAUGGUUCCCUCCGCCAGCCAGGCGGAGGGACGUGAGAGGGAACCCGGUGCGAGUCCGGGACUGCCCCGCAGCGGUGAGCGGGAACGACCGCCGUCAGGAGCACUGGGUGUGCCACCACCUGGGAAGCGACGGCCAGUAGGGGCACCGGCAGGUGCACGCCCGCGAGUCCGAAGACCUGCCAUCAGCGCAACGGUCCC
This 213-nucleotide non-coding RNA is filed under the name Pseudonocardia sp. RNAcentral also lists the same sequence under 1 other name. Lineage: Bacteria; Bacillati; Actinomycetota; Actinomycetes; Pseudonocardiales; Pseudonocardiaceae. The record is from RNAcentral.